This 253-nucleotide ribosomal RNA is filed under the name uncultured bacterium. Its description in RNAcentral is "partial 16S ribosomal RNA". It matches the Rfam family "Bacterial small subunit ribosomal RNA", at positions 524 to 776 of the family's 1533-position model. The record is from RNAcentral.
UACGGAGGGUGCGAGCGUUGUCCGGAAUCAUUGGGCGUAAAGGGCGCGUAGGUGGCGGGACAAGCGUGCGGUGAAAGCCUGGGGCUCAACCCCGGGUCGGCCGUGCGAACUGUUUUGCUUGAGCACUGUAGAGGCAGGCGGAAUUCCGGGUGUAGCGGUGGAAUGCGUAGAGAUCCGGAAGAACACCGGUGGCGAAGGCGGUCUGCUGGGCAGUUGCUGACACUGAGGCGCGACAGCGUGGGGAGCAAACAGG